GGAGUUGUAGCUCAGUGCUAGAGGGCUUGUCUAGCAUGUAUGAGGUGCUGAGUUUGAUCCUCAGCACCA
RNAcentral lists this transfer RNA (69 nucleotides) under Marmota monax (woodchuck). RNAcentral's name for it is "tRNA.Ala". The record is from RNAcentral. Lineage: Eukaryota; Metazoa; Chordata; Mammalia; Rodentia; Sciuridae.